GAUAAACGCUGGCGGCGCACAUAAGACAUGCAAGUCGAACGGAAGUCGUUAUUAAAUGGAAUGAAGAUUUAUCGGAGUGAAGUUUAGUAACAAUGGCUUUAGUGGCGGACUGGUGAGUAACACGUAAGCAAUCUACCUAUUAGAGGGGAAUAACAAUGAGAAAUCAUUGCUAAUACCGCAUAAGCUUGUAGUAUCGCAUGAUACAGCAAGAAAAGGAGCAAUCCGCUAAUAGAUGAGCUUGCGGCUGAUUAGCUAGUUGGUGUGGUAACGGCAUACCAAGGCAACGAUCAGUAGCCGGGCUGAGAGGCUCAUCGGCCACAUUGGGACUGAGAUACGGCCCAG
This 342-nucleotide ribosomal RNA is filed under the name uncultured bacterium. Its description in RNAcentral is "bacterial SSU rRNA". It matches the Rfam family "Bacterial small subunit ribosomal RNA", at positions 28 to 334 of the family's 1533-position model. The record is from RNAcentral.